Molecule: ribosomal RNA, 253 nt
Filed under: uncultured bacterium
Lineage: Bacteria
Description: partial 16S ribosomal RNA
Rfam family: Bacterial small subunit ribosomal RNA
Source: RNAcentral
UACGGGGGGAGCAAGCGUUGUUCGGAUUUACUGGGCGUAAAGGGCGCGUAGGCGGCGUGACAAGUCACUUGUGAAAUCUCCGGGCUUAACUCGGAACGGUCAAGUGAUACUGUCGUGCUAGAGUACAGAAGGGGCAACUGGAAUUCUCGGUGCAGCGGUGAAAUGCGUAGAUAUCGAGAGGAACACCUGCGGCGAAGGCGGGUUGCUGGGCUGAUACUGACGCUGAGGCGCGAAAGCUAGGGGAGCGAACGGG